RNAcentral lists this ribosomal RNA (466 nucleotides) under uncultured bacterium. RNAcentral describes it as "bacterial SSU rRNA". It matches the Rfam family "Bacterial small subunit ribosomal RNA", at positions 28 to 508 of the family's 1533-position model. The record is from RNAcentral.
GACGAACGCUGGCGGCGCGCCUAACACAUGCAAGUCGAACGAGAGAUGAGGAGCUUGCUCUUCAGAUCGAGUGGCGAACGGGUGAGUAACGCGUGAGGAACCUGCCUCAAAGAGGGGGACAACAGUUGGAAACGACUGCUAAUACCGCAUAAGCCCACGGCUCGGCAUCGAGCAGGGGGAAAAGGAGCAGUCCGCUUUGAGAUGGCCUCGCGUCCGAUUAGCUAGUUGGUGAGGUAACGGCCCACCAAGGCGACGAUCGGUAGCCGGACUGAGAGGUUGAACGGCCACAUUGGGACUGAGACACGGCCCAAACUCCUACGGGAGGCAGCAGUGGGGAAUAUUGCACAAUGGGCGAAAGCCUGAUGCAGCGACGCCGCGUGAGCGAAGAAGUAUUCGGUAUGUAAAGCUCUAUCAGCAGGGAAGAUAAUGACGGUACCUGACUAAGAAGCACCGGCUAAAUACGUAG